Molecule: long non-coding RNA, 1118 nt
Organism: Fukomys damarensis (Damara mole-rat)
Lineage: Eukaryota; Metazoa; Chordata; Mammalia; Rodentia; Bathyergidae
Exons: 5
Source: RefSeq, a predicted model, not a curated record
UCUCAUGUACUCUGCUGCUUAUUGGCAAUUCCGGCUUGCUCUGGGAGGAACCUAUGACCUUGACCAUCAUGAUCUUGGGCACUAACGCAAACCCUGAGAACCCUGAGCUGGAACAAUGAAGGCAAACCCUGAAGCCAUCCUUUCAGUGUACUCUGAGGCAGUUUAUAAAGAAGCAGGAAAUGCAACAUUUUUUUCUACUUUCCUGGGUUUCAUCAUGUGGUAAAUGUAUGUGAAGUGAGGUGCAGAAACCUAUAAUGUGGACUGGUCUACUCACACCAUGGCUAAUUUAGAAUCGGCACCCAAGCAACCUGGUGCUUAGUCACUCUUGCACACUACUAUAACUAUGAGAAAUACAAGAAAUGAGAAGAAGCCGAUCUGACAUGCAAAGUGAAGUCAAAGCUGUGAUAGUUGAACCUGUUUAAGAGAGACAUAAUAGAUCACUGCUGUAAGUCUAUAAGUGGCAAGUUGAAAAUAAAGUAUUCAGAACGGGGACAAAGAAGUACUCAGAAAUUUAAAAAAGAAGUUGGUAAAGAAUACAUGCGAAGGACGAUGUUAAACAGCAUUGAGAAAGGAAACGAAGGGAGAUCAUGGUGAGAGAAUAAAGAAGGAUUCAGCACAAGGAGGAGAAACUUAAAAAGAAGAAAUGAUAUAGGAAGAUCUUGAAAACAAAGACCCUUUUUAAAGCGGAAAUCUGUAAUGUGGGAAAAAAAUGAAAGAGACAAAAGAAUCUGAAGAAUUGAAAACUCUUAGGAUAGAGCCAAGAUGUGACUUCAACAGUCCGGUGUGGGAAAUUGCCCCUAAAGGAAAUGGAGACUUUCAAAGACGGGUGUCUGACUGGGGGUGGGGGUGGGGGUGGGGAGAGCUUGGCUUUGCCUCAGAGCAUGGCAGUCAGGAGAAAUGCUUUGUGAAGAAGUCCUCAAGAAGGGCCAGGACUCGUUCUAGUUAGUAAUACAAUUAUAAUAGGGUAGGCGAUGGCGUUCCUUGAGCAUCUGCUCUGUACCGGGCACUUUACAUAACUUACUUAGUUUAGUUCUCACAAACAGAAACUAUAAUCCCUAUUUUACAAUUAGUGACUGAGACUAACUCUCUCAAGGAUAUGAUAUCAAGCAGAACAACUG